Molecule: long non-coding RNA, 483 nt
Filed under: Lathyrus oleraceus (garden pea)
Lineage: Eukaryota; Viridiplantae; Streptophyta; Magnoliopsida; Fabales; Fabaceae
Description: Pisum sativum (pea) long non-coding RNA (PSAT_LNC037593)
Source: RNAcentral
AGAUAACAAAGCCAGCAACACCAUCACCAAGCUUCAACCAGUAUUAUGGAAGAUAACAAACAAAACUGAGAAGACAAAGAUUAGAUUACAUGAGUUAAAAUGAAAAUCGAAACGUUUGCCUUUGAUGAGUUUUAUAUUUAGUUGUGAGAGCAAACGAAGAGGGGGGAAGAAAAACGGGGAGAGAGAUAAACGGUGACGGCUAGGGUUUUUUAGUUAUACAGUGGUGUUUGUAUAUGAUGGGUAUUGGUAUUGGGCUUUAAAGGAAAUCAGACCAGAAACUGUAGUUAUAUAAUAAACUAGGAAAGCGGUCGGGUUCAGUUUUCGUUGGAUUGAAUUGGCCCAACCGAACCGAACCGUUAAAAGCCAUUGAAACCCGAUUGAUUCAGUUUAUCAACCCGACACCCGUUUUGAAACCGACCGCGUACAAACGGUUUGUAUGGAUCGGACGGCUUGGGGCGGUUUUCUCAAAAUCUGUCCACCCCU